AUUGAACGCUGGCGGCAGGCUUAACACAUGCAAGUCGAGCGGGGUGAUGGUGCUUGCACUAUCACUUAGCGGCGGACGGGUGAGUAAUGCUUAGGAAUCUGCCUAUUAGUGGGGGACAACAUCUCGAAAGGGAUGCUAAUACCGCAUACGUCCUACGGGAGAAAGCAGGGGAUCACUUGUGACCUUGCGCUAAUAGAUGAGCCUAAGUCGGAUUAGCUAGUUGGUGGGGUAAAGGCCUACCAAGGCGACGAUCUGUAGCGGGUCUGAGAGGAUGAGCGGCCAAACUGGGACUGAGACACGGCCCAGACUCCUACGGGAGGCAGCAGUGGGGAAUAUUGGACAAUGGGGGGAACCCUGAUCCAGCCAUGCCGCGUGUGUGAAGAAGGCCUUAUGGUUGUAAAGCACUUUAAGCGAGGAGGAGGCUCUUUUGGUUAAUACCCAAGAUGAGUGGACGUUACUCGCAGAAUAAGCACCGGCUAACUCUGUGCCAGCAGCCGCCGUAA
This 503-nucleotide ribosomal RNA is filed under the name uncultured bacterium. Its description in RNAcentral is "partial 16S ribosomal RNA". It matches the Rfam family "Bacterial small subunit ribosomal RNA", at positions 30 to 523 of the family's 1533-position model. The record is from RNAcentral.